UGCAUUAACUUAUUGUUAUUGUAGUACACCUUUUUUAAUUGUCCUACAGUUGUGGAGAGAAUUGCUUUAAAAAGGUUACCAAGUUGUUAGUCGCUUUAGUUAAAAAUGCGUAAGCCUAAUGUAAUGUAAUGACAAAAGAAAUGCAUAAAACGUUUUGUAGAUUUGUACAAUUACAUACAUUUAUUAAACAAUUACAAAAUAUAAUUGGGUAAGAGACUUAAUGAAAUUAACACAUCAGAUCUAAUUGGUUAUUAUUUCUAAUAAAGAUGUUUAGUGACCAACACAUGUACAGCAGGUACCUCAUGACACAAACAUGUCAGUUUUCUCAGCCCUGCUUUUGUCUUCCGCAGGGACCGGGUUGACAAGUGGUUAUUGGAGUGAUUGAGUGGUGGUUGGAGUGAGGAAUAGGCUGCUAGAGGCUGCUGGAGAAACAAGACUCCCUGAAGCUGAGACUGGAAAGGGCAGGCCAAGUACUUCCAUGGCAACAAGCAAGGUGGGAGGCAUGGGUUUAGGUGCAGAAGGAUUUCGAGUCUUCCUUGCCUUUUUGCUUUGACUCUUGCUUCCAAGAUGGCCAUCAUCCUGUCGCUUUUUGUUCCUAUCAGCCCUAAUUGAUUUUGCUUCAAUACGAAGCCUCAGCCUGAUGUAUGUGUUGACAAUUUUUAGUUUUAGGUCAUGGCAUGAAGGCAGUGUGCUGUGCAGGAGCAUGGCCUCUCUCUGUAGUAGUGCCACUGCAUUGGCUGACUCCAUAAGGGAAUCGGUCGUCCUUGCCCGGAACAACUGCUCCACUUUGCUGAUGAGAUCGAAGGCCUCUUGUGAUGGACGGUGUUGCUGGGUCUAUCAGUUCCUCCAGCCUCAGACCAGGACUGCAGAUGGUGUCGAACCAGUGGUCUACCUUCUCAAGGAACCAAGAUGUUGUGAGGUAAGACUGUGGCCGUUGCUCCUCCUCAGCCAGGUAUUUCAGGCCAGCACUGGUCGCUCUACUGAAGACGUGUAUGGCAGGUGACAAUGACACCGAGAUUAAAUAAAUAUGUGCUGUUGGGGUCAGAUCUUUGAAAAGUUGGGAUCUCAUUUGUCUGCUGCAUUGAAGUUGGUCAACAACAAAAAUGGGAAUGAUUUUGCAGUCAUGAAGGAUAAAUUGGUAUGUACUGUGAUAGUAUGUACUGUGUCUCUGUGUUAAGGGCCGUUCACACCAGGAACUGUAACGAUAAAUGCGUCCACACUGACCAACAAUAACAAAAGUCUCUCCUUGUGUUGAUGAAUUUGCUGGCUAAAGUUCAAUGGAUUCUGAUUGCCUGUCAGCUUUUUAUUCUCAAAAUAACUCUUGACAGAUAUAGUUGGGAAUCACAUUUUUAGUGUUGUUAUCAUUAUAGUUCAUGUGUGGAUGUAAGGUCUGGCUCCCCCAACCGACCUUGCAGAGGUCGGCCGUGUAUGGGUAUGUAAAACUCUUGCUGGUCUCUUUGGUUUCUGGUAAUAACUUGAUGUGGCAUCUGUGAAUGUCUUGUACCAAGUGUACACUGACUGUUACCUGCUCUCUCCAUUCUCCACUGUGCCUGUUCUUACCUAGGACCAAGGAUGCAGAGGACAAGAUGGGUGUGCGGUAUGACUGAAAUGAUCAGAAAAGGUCAGAAGAGGCCCUUACACAGGUUUUUCUUGAUCCAGCAUCAGCAUCUCCAACACCUCCUGUAGCACUCCAGACUCCAGCCAAAUGUGCUACCUCUUCCUUACAUUAGCCCUCUUGUAGGUGUGCAUAGUGUAUGUAGAGCAUCCUUUCCACAUUGUGUCUUCGGUUGUUCACACACAAUUAUUGUUCAGACUUGGGAAUCUAAAAUGUUUUUCAGAAUGUCUUUGAAAAUCUAAAUGAGUGUCUGCCCUCCUUUUUAUGUUGCAGUCUCACCAUCUCCCUCACAGCCUUUUUUGUGUUUUGUUCCUGUUCUUGUUGUUGAAACACACUUAUUCCACACAUUGCAAAUUUAAUAAACAAAUCUAGUGAAAACCUAAAA
Molecule: long non-coding RNA, 2000 nt
Organism: Alosa sapidissima (American shad)
Lineage: Eukaryota; Metazoa; Chordata; Actinopteri; Clupeiformes; Clupeidae
Exons: 2
Source: RefSeq, a predicted model, not a curated record